RNAcentral lists this non-coding RNA (223 nucleotides) under Bhargavaea cecembensis. RNAcentral describes it as "T-box sequence". It matches the Rfam family "T-box leader". Rfam says of the family: Uncharged tRNA acts as the effector for transcription antitermination of genes in the T-box leader family. T-boxes are found upstream of many aminoacyl-tRNA synthetase genes and some amino acid biosynthetic genes usually in Gram-positive bacteria. The record is from RNAcentral. Lineage: Bacteria; Bacillati; Bacillota; Bacilli; Caryophanales; Caryophanaceae.
AACGAUGCAGUGAGCGGGAAGAGUAGGAACGGUAGUUGUCCGGAGAGAGGGAGCGGCUGGUGAGAGCUCCCGUCAGCGCCGUCCGAAGUCGCCCGUGAGCAGCCUCCGCGAACCAAGUAGCGGAGUGCCGGUCAGACGACCGUUAUCGUUUCGAGCGCCGGCCGCUCUUGUUUGCGUGCCGGAACUAAAGGUGGUACCGCGAAGUCAGCCCUUCGUCCUUUAU